Molecule: ribosomal RNA, 505 nt
Filed under: uncultured Geobacter sp.
Lineage: Bacteria; Pseudomonadati; Thermodesulfobacteriota; Desulfuromonadia; Geobacterales; Geobacteraceae
Description: bacterial SSU rRNA
Rfam family: Bacterial small subunit ribosomal RNA
Source: RNAcentral
ACUCCUACGGGAGGCAGCAGUGGGGAAUUUUGCGCAAUGGGCGAAAGCCUGACGCAGCAACGCCGCGUGAGUGAUGAAGGCUUUCGGGUCGUAAAGCUCUGUCAGGGGGAAAGAAGUGUAUUGUGGCUAAUAUCCACGAUACUUGACGGUACCCCCAAAGGAAGCACCGGCUAACUCCGUGCCAGCAGCCGCGGUAAUACGGGGGGUGCAAGCGUUGUUCGGAAUUAUUGGGCGUAAAGCGCGUGUAGGCGGUUUGUUUAGUCUGAUGUGAAAGCCCUGGGCUCAACCCAGGAAGUGCAUUGGAAACUGGCAGACUUGAAUACGGGAGAGGGUAGUGGAAUUCCUAGUGUAGGAGUGAAAUCCGUAGAUAUUAGGAGGAACACCGGUGGCGAAGGCGGCUGCCUGGACCGAUAUUGACGCUGAGACGCGAAAGCGUGGGUAGCAAACAGGAUUAGAUACCCUGGUAGUCCACGCCGUAAACGAUGAGAACUAGGUGUCGCGGGUA